This 766-nucleotide long non-coding RNA is filed under the name Olea europaea (common olive). Its description in RNAcentral is "long non-coding RNA (OEUR_LNC000980)". Lineage: Eukaryota; Viridiplantae; Streptophyta; Magnoliopsida; Lamiales; Oleaceae. The record is from RNAcentral.
AGAAUCCAAAUUUAGGAUGUUGGAAAGGAGGAAGGUUGGGGAGUGGAGGGCAGGGUUUCUUAUAGAAUGGUGGGAGUGGUUUAUAAAUUGGAAUUGGAGGUGGAAGUGGCUUUACUAUUGGAGGAAUGUAAAUUGGUGGCUUUGGCUUGUAGAUUGGAAUUGGAGGUGGAAGUGGCUUUACUAUUGGAGGGAUGUAAAUUGGUGGCUUUGGCUUGUAGAUUGGAACUGGUGGUGGUAGUGGCUUUACUACCGGGGGUAUGUAAACCGGUGGCUUUGGCUUGUAGGUUGGAACUGGUGGUGGUAGUGGCUUUAUUAUCGGAGGUAUGUAAAUCGGUGGCUUUGGCUUUGGUUUGUAGAUAGGAACUGGUGGUGGAAGAGGCUUUACUACCGGAGGUUUGUAAACUGGUGGCUUUGGCUUUGGUUUGUAGAUUGGAACUGGUGGUGGAAGCGGCUUUACUGGAGGCUUUGGCUUGUAAAUAGGGACAGGUGGAGGAAGUGGCUUUGGUUUGUAAAUGGGGACGGGUGGAGGAAGCGGCUUUUUGUAAAUGGGAACUGGGGGAGGAAGUGGCUUUGGUUUGUAAAUGGGGACGGGUGGAGGAAUCGGCUUUUUGUAAAUGGGAAUUGGGGGAGGAAGUGGCUUUGGUUUGUAGAUGGGGACGGGUGGAGGAAGCGGCUUUUUGUAAAUGGGAACUGGGGGAGGAAGUGGCUUUGGUUUGUAGAUGGGGACGGGUGGAGGAAGCGGCUUUUUGUAAAUGGGAACUGGGGG